Molecule: ribosomal RNA, 107 nt
Filed under: Fukomys damarensis (Damara mole-rat)
Lineage: Eukaryota; Metazoa; Chordata; Mammalia; Rodentia; Bathyergidae
Source: RNAcentral
CCCGUACCACUCUGAGCACACCCGACCUCAGCUGAUCUUGGAAGCUAAGCAGGGUCCGGCCUGGUUAGAACUUGGGUGGGAGACAGUAAUCUUGGUAGGAAAAAAAA